GCUUUAGUGGCCGAGUGGUUAAGGCGUCGGAUUUAAGCUUUAGCUUUUGUUUCCCGAUGGAUUUAUCCGCAAGAGUUCGAUCCUCUUCUAAAGCA
This is a non-coding RNA of Dioszegia hungarica, 95 nucleotides long. The record is from the annotation of a RefSeq genome assembly. NCBI's taxonomy places the organism in Eukaryota, Fungi, Basidiomycota, Tremellomycetes, Tremellales, Bulleribasidiaceae.